GUUCCCAUGGCCUAGCGGGUAGUGUUCCCGUUUUCUAAUUUGUGGUCGUGGGUUCGAACCCCACGAGUGCCA
Molecule: non-coding RNA, 72 nt
Organism: Caenorhabditis brenneri
Lineage: Eukaryota; Metazoa; Nematoda; Chromadorea; Rhabditida; Rhabditidae
Source: the annotation of a GenBank genome assembly